RNAcentral lists this ribosomal RNA (660 nucleotides) under uncultured organism. Its description in RNAcentral is "bacterial SSU rRNA". It matches the Rfam family "Bacterial small subunit ribosomal RNA", at positions 142 to 811 of the family's 1533-position model. The record is from RNAcentral.
GAUAGCCGCGGGAAACCGCGGGUAAUACCGGAUAAUGUCUCCGGACCAAAUGUGUGAUUCCGCCUGGGGACGGGUCCGCGUCCUAUUAGCUUGUUGGUGAGGUAACGGCUCACCAAGGCGACGAUGGGUACCGGGCGUGAGAGCAUGGCCCGGCUCACUGGGACUGAGACACUGCCCAGACACCUACGGGUGGCUGCAGUCGAGAAUCUUCGGCAAUGGACGCAAGUCCGACCGAGCGACGCCGCGUGCGGGAUGAAGGCCUUCGGGUUGUAAACCGCUGUCAGAGGGGAGGAAAUCCUGUGGGGUUCUCUCCACAGGUUGACCUAUCCUCAGAGGAAGUACGGACUAAGUUCGUGCCAGCAGCCGCGGUAAGACGAACCGUACAAACGUUAUUCGGAAUCACUGGGCUUAAAGGGUGCGUAGGCGGCCCUGCAAGUUGGGUGUGAAAGCCCUCGGCUCAACCGAGGAAUUGCGCCCAAAACUGCGGGGCUUGAGGGAGACAGAGGUGAGCGGAACUUAGGGUGGAGCGGUGAAAUGCGUUGAUAUCCUGAGGAACACCUGUAGCGAAAGCGGCUCACUGGGUCUCUUCUGACGCUGAGGCACGAAAGCUAGGGGAGCGAACGGGAUUAGAUACCCCGGUAGUCCUAGCUGUAAACGUUG